GGGGAUAAACCCGGGAAACUGGGUAUAAUACCCGAUAGAUCUCGACUGCUGGAAUGCAUCGAGAUCGAAAGCUCCGGCGCCUAAGGAUGGGUCUGCGGCCUAUCAGGUAGUAGUGGGUGUAGCGUACCUACUAGCCUACGACGGGUACGGGUUGUGAGAGCAAGAGCCCGGAGAUGGAUUCUGAGACACGAAUCCAGGCCCUACGGGGUGCAGCAGGCGCGAAAACUUUACAAUGCUGGAAACAGCGAUAAGGGGACCCCGAGUGCCAGGUUACAAAUCUGGCUGUCGUGAUGCCUAAAAAGCAUUGCAUAGCAAAGGGCCGGGCAAGACCGGUGCCAGCCGCCGCGGUAACACCGGCGGCUCGAGUGGUAACCGUUAUUAUUGGGUCUAAAGGGUCUGUAACCGGCCGGAUAAGUCUCUUGGGAAAUCCAGCAGCUCAACUGUUGGGCUUUCAGGAGAUACUGUCUGGCUCGAGGCCGGGAGAGGUGAGAGGUACUUCAGGGGUAGGGGUGAAAUCUUGUAAUCCUUGAAGGACCACCAGUGGCGAAGGCGUCUCACCAGAACGGACCUGACGGCAAGGGACGAAAGCUAGGGGCACGAACCGGAUUAGAUACCCGGGUAGUCCUAGCCGUAAACGAUACUCGCUAGGUGUCGGCCACGGUGCGACCGUUGUCGGUGCCGUAGGGAAGCCGUGAAGCGAGCCACCUGGAGGUACCG
RNAcentral lists this ribosomal RNA (717 nucleotides) under uncultured Methanotrichaceae archaeon. RNAcentral's name for it is "SSU rRNA". It matches the Rfam family "Archaeal small subunit ribosomal RNA", at positions 122 to 840 of the family's 1478-position model. Lineage: Archaea; Methanobacteriati; Methanobacteriota; Methanomicrobia; Methanotrichales; Methanotrichaceae. The record is from RNAcentral.